RNAcentral lists this unclassified non-coding RNA (317 nucleotides) under Hevea brasiliensis (rubber tree). The record is from RNAcentral. Lineage: Eukaryota; Viridiplantae; Streptophyta; Magnoliopsida; Malpighiales; Euphorbiaceae.
UCUACAAACGUAUUUACCGAGCAUUGAAGGACGAGUUCAAGCUCCUGUUCGAGCUCAAUGCGCGCAACAUCGACGAGAAGGCAUACUAUACGUUCAACGACGAGCAGGAAGUAGUCGAGAAGUCUGACUAUGACCUCCAGUCGAUGGAUAUCUGUCCGGUUGCCGAUCCCAAAAUGGUCACGGAUAUGCAGCGUUCCGCUCGCGCUCAGGUGCUGAUGCAGAUCGGGCAGGACCCGACGCUAGGCCCACUGCAGGACCCGCUGGAGGCGCUGCGGCGCAUCUACGACGCGGUUGGCAUGGAAGAGCCGGACAAGCUU